GGAGGACCAUCUCCCAAGGCUAAAUACUCCCUAGUGACCGAUAGUGAACCAGUACCGUGAGGGAAAGGUGAAAAGCACCCCGGAAGGGGAGUGAAACAGUUCCUGAAACCGUGUGCCUACAAGUAGUUAGAGCCCGUUAAUGGGUGAUAGCGUGCCUUUUGUAGAAUGAACCGGCGAGUUACGAUUUGUUGCAAGGUUAAGCGGAAAAAGCGGAGCCGUAGCGAAAGCGAGUCUGAAUAGGGCGCAUAAGUAACAGGUCGUAGACCCGAAACCAGGUGAUCUACCCAUGUCCAGGAUGAAGGUAAGGUAAUACUUACUGGAGGUCCGAACCCACGCACGUUGAAAAGUGCGGGGAUGAGGUGUGGGUAGCGGAGAAAUUCCAAUCGAACUUGGAGAUAGCUGGUUCUCUCCGAAAUAGCUUUAGGGCUAGCCUCGAGGUAAAGAGUCAUGGAGGUAGAGCACUGUUUGGACUAGGGGCCCUUCUCGGGUUACCGAAUUCAGAUAAACUCCGAAUGCCAUGUACUUAUACUCGGGAGUCAGACUGCGAGUGAUAAGAUCCGUAGUCGAAAGGGAAACAGCCCAGACCACCAGUUAAGGUCCCCAAAUAUAUGUUAAGUGGAAAAGGAUGUGGGGUUGCUUAGACAACCAGGAUGUUGGCUUAGAAGCAGCCACCAUUGAAAGAGUGCGUAAUAGCUCACUGGUCGAGUGACCCCGCGCCGAAAAUGUACCGGGGCUAAACAUAUUACCGAAACUGUGGAUGAACCUCUUUAGAGGUUCGUGGUAGGAGAGCGUUCUAAGGGCGGUGAAGUCAGACCGGAAGGACUGGUGGAGCGCUUAGAAGUGAGAAUGCCGGUAUGAGUAGCGAAAGAAGGGUGAGAAUCCCUUCCACCGAAUAUCUAAGGUUUCCUGAGGAAGGCUCGUCCGCUC
RNAcentral lists this ribosomal RNA (927 nucleotides) under Listeria monocytogenes. RNAcentral's name for it is "partial 23S ribosomal RNA". It matches the Rfam family "Bacterial large subunit ribosomal RNA", at positions 447 to 1375 of the family's 2925-position model. Lineage: Bacteria; Bacillati; Bacillota; Bacilli; Caryophanales; Listeriaceae. The record is from RNAcentral.